AUUAUCUUGGCAGAAUAGUGCAUUAAAUUUAGAGUUUAAAAUAAGAUAUAACAAGUUUAUAUAGAUAAUA
Molecule: transfer RNA, 70 nt
Filed under: Pheidole flaveria
Lineage: Eukaryota; Metazoa; Arthropoda; Insecta; Hymenoptera; Formicidae
Description: tRNA-Leu
Source: RNAcentral